Molecule: ribosomal RNA, 117 nt
Organism: Oncorhynchus tshawytscha (Chinook salmon)
Lineage: Eukaryota; Metazoa; Chordata; Actinopteri; Salmoniformes; Salmonidae
Source: Ensembl
GCUUACGACCACACUGGCCUGAGUUCCUGAUCUUGUCUGAUCUCGGAAGCUAAGCAGGGUCGGGCCUGGUUAGUACUUGGAUGGGAGACCGCCUGGGAAUACCAGGUGCUGUAAGCU